Molecule: ribosomal RNA, 253 nt
Filed under: uncultured bacterium
Lineage: Bacteria
Description: partial 16S ribosomal RNA
Rfam family: Bacterial small subunit ribosomal RNA
Source: RNAcentral
UACGGAGGGUGCAAGCGUUAUCCGGAUUCACUGGGUUUAAAGGGCGCGUAGGCGGCGCGACAAGUCACUUGUGAAAUCUCCGGGCUUAACUCGGAACGGUCAAGUGAAACUGUCAUGCUAGAGUGCAGAAGGGGCAAUCGGAAUUCUUGGUGUAGCGGUGAAAUGCGUAGAUAUCAAGAGGAACACCUGAGGUGAAGACGGGUUGCUGGGCUGACACUGACGCUGAGGCGCGAAAGCCAGGGGAGCAAACGGG